This 496-nucleotide ribosomal RNA is filed under the name uncultured bacterium. RNAcentral's name for it is "partial 16S ribosomal RNA". It matches the Rfam family "Bacterial small subunit ribosomal RNA", at positions 29 to 507 of the family's 1533-position model. The record is from RNAcentral.
AUGAACGCUGGCGGCGUGCCUAAUACAUGCAAGUCGAGCGAACGGACGAGAAGCUUGCUUCUCUGAUGUUAGCGGCGGACGGGUGAGUAACACGUGGAUAACCUACCUAUAAGACUGGGAUAACUUCGGGAAACCGGAGCUAAUACCGGAUGAUAUUUUGAACCGCAUGGUUCAAAAGUGAAAGACGGUCUUGCUGUCACUUAUAGAUGGAUCCGCGCUGCAUUAGCUAGUUGGUAAGGUAACGGCUUACCAAGGCAACGAUGCAUAGCCGACCUGAGAGGUUGAUCGGCCACACUGGAACUGAGACACGGUCCAGACUCCUACGGGAGGCAGCAGUAGGGAAUCUUCCGCCAUGGGCGAAAGCCUGACGGAGCAACGCCGCGUGAGUGAUGAAGGUCUUCGGAUCGUAAAACUCUGUUAUUAGGGAAGAACAUAUGUGUAAGUAACUGUGCACAUCUUGACGGUACCUAAUCAGAAAGCCACGGCUAACUACGUG